GAUGAACGCUGGCGGCGUGCUUAACACAUGCAAGUCGAACGGGAAACUUUCCAUUGAAGCUCCGGCAGAUUUGGUCUGUUUCUAGUGGCGGACGGGUGAGUAACGCGUGGGUAACCUGCCUUAUACAGGGGGAUAACAACCAGAAAUGGUUGCUAAUACCGCAUAAGCGCACAGGACCGCAUGGUCCGGUGUGAAAAACUCCGGUGGUAUAAGAGGGACCCGCGUUGGAUUAGCUAGUUGGCAGGGUAACGGCCUACCAAGGCGACGAUCCAUAGCCGGCCAGAGAGGGUGAACGGCCACAUUGGGACUGAGACACGGACCAGACUCCUACGGGAGGCAGCAGUGGGGAAUAUUGCAUAAUGGGGGAAACCCUGACGCAGCGACGCCGCGUGAAGGAAGAAGUAUCUCGGUAUGUAAACUUCUAUCAGCAGGGAAGAUAGUGACGGUACCUGACUAAGAAGCCCCGGCUAACUACGUGCCAGCAGCCGCCGCGG
This 494-nucleotide ribosomal RNA is filed under the name uncultured bacterium. RNAcentral's name for it is "partial 16S ribosomal RNA". It matches the Rfam family "Bacterial small subunit ribosomal RNA", at positions 28 to 523 of the family's 1533-position model. The record is from RNAcentral.